Oxyura jamaicensis (ruddy duck) is the source of this 7332-nucleotide long non-coding RNA. RefSeq lists it as uncharacterized. The transcript has 3 exons. Lineage: Eukaryota; Metazoa; Chordata; Aves; Anseriformes; Anatidae. The record is from RefSeq and is a predicted model, not a curated record.
ACAGAGAGGUCACAGCUUGCGGCCGGACGGCCAGGAGGAUGUGAAAGCAGUGACACAGAGAGGUGACAUCAGGCAGCACUGACACGCUCCAUGUGGCCCUCUGCUCCCUCAACCCUUCCAAACAGGAGCCUCUCAAACCCUGGCCAGCCUCCGUCCUGUGGGAACACGGUGCAGGGGUCCCCUAGCAGCGGAAAUGCCAUCCCUUGAGCCACGGCACAUGCUGGGGCAGAGAGCAGGCUUGCACCAUCCCUGCCAGACCCCCGUACAACGUCCUGUGCUGCAGGGGCUGCUUUCAGAGUAAAACAGAAGAGCUAAGCACAUUGUGACCGCUGUCACUUGCGUCAUGGACCCUUAAAGCAGGAAAACUAGGGGAAAAAAAAGCCAACAUACUGGCAGUGAUAUUAUUUGCAUCCUUAAAGAGUAAAGGACGCCCCUGGGAGGGAUGACAGGAGGACUUGGGGCAGCGCUGAACACGCGGAGCAGCGCUGGAGCCGCGUGGUUCUCCAGUCCCGCAACGUGCGCGCGUUCCCCACACCGCAGCGCUAAGCGGGUGCCUGAGCGUGCGUACACCGCCCGAUAACUCAUUGAGAAACAAAAACAAGGUCUGGACGUACUUCGCGGCACAAUAUAUGGUCCAGCUGACUGAAGCACAUUCCUAUGUAGCGAGACACACUGUAAACGCUAGCCACGAUCUCUAAACCAGUGCGUGACUCACGGAGGCCUUUUAUUCCUCUGAGAUACAUACAGCUGAGGCGAGUGGAAAAAAGCCAGGCUGUUGGCUGAAGCACGGUGGUGGAUGGCUGAAGAUGCGGAGAACAAUAGCAAGAGACAGCAAGCGACCAUCUCUGUCCAGUGGGGGGAGGGAAAAACCUGCUAGAAACUGCUAGAAACCCAUCAUACUGCAGGCAAGCAAAGUAAAAAAGCGUUACUAUGAGCGAGAUCUUGUUAAGAAACACUCUCCUGGAAACCUUGCAGCCUGCUGUGCGUUUUAAUGCUACACGAUGCAGCCAGCGAGCCAGAAAUUGCGUGGUGCCAAUGAGAAAAAGGCAGCAAACGUGAGGGAGAGUUUGGAGGUUGCAAGCAAGAAAUCAGCUUUUUGAACAAACCAGCGCAGGUUUUGGCGUGGGCUUGAAGGAAGCUGAGCAGCCGAAGAUGUCAGCGGAUGGCAAAAGCCACCGAACCCCAAGAACAGGCUGGGGUUGAGACCAAGGGCUGUAGUAAAAAAACCUCCCUCCUGCAGCCACUCAGGCAAGCCAGUCACUGCAGGAACACCCACAACUGGUGACAGCAGGGGGACCUCACCCAAGCAGCCAGUGCUGGAACAAACUGUGCCAGCCAGGGAUUUGCAGCCCAGGAGCAACGUGCCCCGACCCCAGACCCCAGCUGCCUGCUGGGGCAGGAUGCUGCAGGUCCCUGGGUGACCCCAAAGCCAAGCCGGCGCUGGCAGGGGAUGUGUCAGAGGAAACACAAGGAUCUGAGCUCUCACCAUGCAGCUCACAUCCUGCGAGCAUCAAACACCCCCUGCAUUUCCACUGAGGAAAGGCCACAACAAACACGGCGGGGACAAAGGCACCGGUCAGAACGAAACAAUCCCAGGAGGAAGGAAAGACCAGAGCAUCUGAGCAUUUCCUAGCAAUCAGGGGCAGAGAGUGCUGGGAAACCACCGAGAGCAUCACAGGCAAGAAACUAAAAUCAUUCAGUCUCCUCCUGGCUCUGCCCUGCUGGCCCAGCACCAGCUGCCCUUUACGUGCAGCCCCGCAGGAUGACCAGAGCUGUAGGGGUAAAACCUCUGCAGAGCAAGUGCUGAGCUCGCUGUGCCAAAAUCGGAUGAAGUGCAGCACUUGGCCUGGUCCGGGCCCCAGCUCAUCGGCCGUUGGCAGCAGCGGGGAUUGGCUCAUGUGGCCCGGGCUGAAGGAGGGGAGAAGAUAAGCCGUCCGACACCGUAAUGCACUGCACAGCGGGCUGCCGCCUUAUCGCUGCCUUUGGGGCCUGGUUUUCGGGCACACAGGGCAUGGGGAGCGGGGAGGCAGCUUGAGCCUCAGCCUGCUGUCGGUGGAAAGGUCUCAGCAGGGCUCGGCGGGGUUUGCAGCCCCUUGGAUACCCUCCCAGCCACGAGCUAUGGUCAACGUGCAGCUUCCUCAGCAAGUGCUGCCCCGAGAUGCUCCCCAAAGCAGCCUGGUUAUGACCAGAGGCUGAUUUAUUUAUUACAGCCACGAGUCCAGCUGCGCCUCCCCAGCGAGGGCGCAGGAGCUGGGGCCAGGGAGGUGCUCGGGGGUCAGUGCGGGUCAGAGCCUCCUGACCCUGCCUCUGGCUCUGCACAAACCUUCCUGCGGCCGGCCGCUUGGGAUCCCCUUCCCCUGCGUGUCCACAGAGGAAGAGGGGAGCUGGGGGAGGAAAAGGCUGACAGACAUCAGGAGCUUGAAUGCUACAGAUAACGAUAACUGAGGGCAGUGUUUGCAGCAGGGACAGCAGUGUCCAGCUCCUCCAGGACCACAAACGUCUCACAUCCCGGGGCUCUCGCUUCUCUCUUUCCAAGCCACGGCACUGCGAGCAGGAACGAGGCCAGCUCACACCACUGCCGGCAUUUCCCACCCCUGCUCUGGGACAAGGGGGUGUCACGCGAGCCACCAGGGCUCAGCCCGUGCCCCGAACACAGGGGCUCAGCUCCUCAGCCUGCUCUGAGGGACCGGAGGAGCCUCUUUCCCCGGCAUCUGCUCUGACACCAAAGUCCCGGCACACAACUUGAGGCUCAGCCCUCGGCAGCUGCCUGCGAGCGCCAGGACCUCCGGCUCACUGGCAGCAGCAAACACAUUUAUUACAAAACCAUAAGGCUGAUAUUUAACCCAUUACCCAGCUCCCCAAAGCAUUUACGUGCCCUGAGAAGGUGAAGCAGAAGGCAAAACGUUAGCUGACAUCUGAGCAGUGGCCCCACGGAGAGGAGCGGUGGGCGCCCAGCACUUGGGGGACCCCCGUGCUCUCUCUGCAGCUCGCAGCACCCGACUCAGCCCUUUCUCCCCGCACGCAGGCCGUUACCUCGCUUAAAGGACCAUCUCUUCUUCCAGCGCUUUGAAAACGACGGCCAGGAGUGGUUGAGCAGUGAGUCUGACAUUGGGGAGCCCUCGGAGCCCCGUGCGAGGAACAGCCCCGAGCAGGAGACGACAGCACGGCGCACGGCAGAGCUCAGCGCGGUCUAAGGCAGCGCUGCAGGCUGCAGCCCAGGGGCUGCCAAGGGGGGAGUGGAGAAGCCAAGUGUUUUGUCAGAAGUAUCAGCUGAUGGAAGCUGUAGCCAGAGAGAAAUUCCUGGUCUCCGGCGUUCCCACCUGUGUGACGGGUCAGUGACUUCCUACAGCGGGGCCCGGGGAUUAGUGGCCCCGCAGCACACGAAGCCCCGAACGCUGGCCGAGGCUUGCAGAGGGAAGCAGAAAACAGGCUGCAAACACACCCAAACCUGCCCCUCGCUGCCAAAACCUCCCUGCCCCGCUCAUGGUGCUCAGAUGUCAGCCGGACAAAUCGUCACCUGAACGGCCGUUCUGCAGGGGCAUGGGGCCCCUCCACCUGGGAAACGCAGGGCAAGAGCUGAGAGCUCCAGCUGGGUGUUUGCACCUGUAGCAUCACUUUGCAAAGCCUCUGCAAGGGAGGGUGCGCGACCCCCCCCCCCCCCCCCCCCGCCCCCAUCUGCAACGUUGGCAUCACCUUGGGGUCUUAGCAAGCCCCUGGCCCCUGGCAAAGAUCAUCCUCCAAGCCCUUCUCAGCUCCCCCACAAAGGGAGGUGGGAGCUGACUCCAAACUGCCAAAUCCCUGAGGUCUCUGAGCCCCACUGACACCAGUCCCACAGCUCACACUGGCUCCAAACCUUGCUCCCGAGCCCUUGAGCAGGCCGACAAAGCCUGGUUUUACACUUGCAGCCUCGCUGAGCAGAGCUCAGCUGAUUUGGGGACGGCCACAGGCAUCUCCGCAGCAUGAAGCCUGCUCUGUGCCGGUGUCACACAGAGGUGGGUGGUGAAGAGCGUUUCCCUCACCCGACCACAAACCUCAAGGCGUCAUCUGCCCAGCGCAGUCCUCCCACAUCCCCUCUGCAGGCAUCUCCCUGAUAACACGGGCACCCAGCUCAGCGGCGGCCCUUUUGAGAGGGUUUGGGGGACCCCAGCUCAGCCAAGCCCAAGCCCAGCUGUGGGCAGUGCUGAGGUCCUGCUGAGGGCGGGGGGGGGAGGCAUCUGCAAACCUUCAGCUGUGGCGUGGCAGCAGCAGGAGCAGCACCCGUGGGGUGUUUGGGCACCCCAGCACUGCCCCAGAGGCAGCCAGGGGGUCGCCCAGCGGGUUAAACCCCAACCUCCUCUUCAUGUGCAGCAGGGUGAGGCCGCUUCACCAGAAAACCCCGAGGAAGAUGAGGGACAACUCUGGUGUCGUUGGAUGGAGCUCGUGCGGAGAACGACUUACCCUGAAGGCUGGAGGCAUCUCUGGUGAGUUCCCCGAGCACGCUUGCACCUGACAGCCCCAACUUCUCCAGAUGCUGGUGCAAAGCAAGAAGCGGAGCCUCAUCGGGGAAGCAGCAGCCGCGCUGCCGGGCUGCUCGCGGGGGCCUCUGGCUCAACCAUCUCACCGCUUCCCCUUUCCGAAGGCACGAACAAGCCCGCCUCGCCCAUGCUGCAGUUCCUCCGACGUCAGCCCUGGCACGGCCCCGCUGCUCGCUCCAGCCCUCGCAGGGGUCGGGGUUCCAGCAGGGUCCAGCAGCCCCCGUCUGGGGGCCGCACACCCCAAACUGCCUGGCGCAGGGGCCUCGAGAGCUGCAGAACUGGUGAUGGCCACGAUGACAGCGAUUGCCGCAAACAGCUUCCUGUUCCGUUCGGAGAAAAACCGCUCUGCGUGCACCGUGAGAGCCUGGCACUAAGGGGCUGUGCCCGCGGGCUCGUUGCACCAUCGCUCGUUAGCCUCCUGCCAGGGGCAGCGGGGCCCAGCACUGGGCUCCCACAAACGCAUCCUUCCUCGCCGCUGUGGCAGGGCGGCUCCGGCAGACCCCGCAGCCCAGCAGGUCUUGGGUUGAGACGGGAUGAAGCGAUAGCAAAGAAACAAAGCACAGAGACUGCACCGGCUGAAUUUCUCUGUGCAGGUGAGGGGCAGACCCACAGGCACUCCAGCUCCAAAGCAAUGGGAGCGAGGGGGCGAGGUGCUGGUCCUCGCCGUGUGCGGUCCGGCAGGCAGAGCCCCCAGCACAGCCCAGGCUCAGAUUUUCAGCGCGGCCGCCUGCUCCUUUCCACUGAGCCCCGGGGGCCGCCGAGCGCACGCACCUCAUCCCACGGCCCUGAGCACAUGCCAGCCCCAGCCAAGCCCUAAUCAGAACAAGAUCCGCUCACACUCCAAUUACUCAGAGACCGCAGCCUUGGCAGCGCUUGGGAUAGCAAUUAUCCAGUGCUCCAGGAAACCACCAGAGCAAAGAGGAAUUAAGGUUUAAUUUCUCUCAAGUCCACAAGAGCUUGGUGAGGAUCAGGGAUCAGGACUUCUCCUAAACCAGGCAGCUGACGGGACGGUGCGUUGUCCUCACCACAAGAGAGGACCAGAGCUUACCCCCUUCCUUUCUGGUGUCUGAUAUGGUCUGGGGGUUAGUGAAGCAGAGCUACGCAUGUGGCCUGGAAGAGCGAUGAGGGAUGACGGCACGAGGGCUGGAUGAGCCUCAGCAUCCUCCCCCAGCAUCCCUGACUUGAGAGCCCAGCAGGCAGCAAACCUCCCGUGACAGCAAGGUCAAGUUUUGUUAGGAUCUCCAGAGAACGACCUGUGCCAGAAGAUGCAAUUCCAAAACAUUUUAAAGCAUUGCUUUGCUUCUCAUUGCUCUUACAACACGAGAAAUCCAAGUGGGUUUGGAGAGGGCUGAGGUGGGGCUGAGCCGCUCUGUGUGCUCCCGCCCAGACACAGGGCAGCGGGCACGGAGCGGGGCUGGAUCCAGCUGCCUCGUCCAGCUCGACGUGCAGAGGCACUAGGUGGCAUCAGCACUGCACAAUCUCCAUCAGCGAACGUCCUCGCCCAUCCCAGCGCUGGGCCCAGGUGGCUGAUGAAACACUUGCUGGAAUUUACCAGGGACAGGGGGCGAGGACUGCAGUGAGGGUUGACCUCGACCCCUCCAAAAAAAAAAAAAAAAAAGGAAAAAAAAAGGAAAAAAAGGAGCAUUCUUUGCAAAAAAAAAAAAAAAAAGUAAAUCACACUACUCACUUUUACAGCCAUUUGUUGUGCAAGCAUCGGACGCUAUCCCCAGGUCUGAGGCAGAGCCGAGCCCCAGCAGGCCGGGAGCAGCCCCGAGGUGCUCAGCUUGGGCAGGGAGAGCCGCGAGCGCAGCCACAGGCCGGUGAAGAGCCGGGGCUGCAGCACAGCGAGGACACGAGGGACAAGGCGCAGCAGGAGAGCAGGUACCUUAACCGAACGGCUAAACGCAUCGAGAAGAAAAACAGCAGCAGCGAGUCCCCCGCCUCGCUGCUGCAGCUGAUCAGGAAGGAAAUCUCACCUCUGAUAAAACGAAACAACAUUUAAGUCAGAAGAAAGAUUUUUACAUUUCCAGAGCAGCUCGGUACAGAAGGCGAGGUGAGGUGGUUCCUGGUGCAAAUCCGGCCCCAGCUGCUCUGCCUCGGGACGGGGAUGAAGCAGAGGCUCUGCCUUUCUGCCUCACAGUUCUGACUGCGUCCCCCUAACGGGAGGGGAGCCUGGGUCCGUGCACAGGGAAAUAACAGCAUGACGCUACAGAGCAGCAGCUCUCGCUGUUUUGGGCAGAAGGAAGCCCUUUACCAAUGUUUACCCAACAGCACCGAGCACCCUGCGGUGAGGAUGAGCCCAGAGCUCGUCGCGCAAGCCACGGGGCCGAGCUAAGCGAGCCUCGGACCACAAGCCUGCUACGGGCAGAUCUGUGUUUGUUUUUUUUUCUUAGCACCAUUCAUUUUGCAACUGAAAGUUUUGCUUAUUCCAAGAUACGGAUUUAAUGCUUUCUCUGUGGUAAAGCAGCACUCAGUGCUGCACAGACAGCAGACACAAAAUGAGCAGUUAUUCUUGGAUAAUUUAUUCAGAAAUUUAAUAUAAACAGUUAAUUGUUCAAUAUUCUGACACACGGCAAGAGUUUUUUCUUAAUGCUCAGAGAUAUUUUCUGUACAUGUCACUGCUUGGCUCUUACAUACGAAAACACUGAAAAAAAUAAACCAAGGGGGAGUUUUUUUUUCUUUUUUUUUUUUUUCCUCCUUUUUUUUUUUUUUUAGAAAAAAUCAUGGCACAUUUGAUCCUUUAUUUCAAACAAGAGGUAUCUGCAAUACUGGAACCUUAGAUACGCAGAGAGAAAGGUGGGAGCAGCAAGUUUAAACA